Gordionus sp. m RMFG-2023 is the source of this 753-nucleotide long non-coding RNA. RefSeq lists it as uncharacterized. The transcript has 2 exons. Lineage: Eukaryota; Metazoa; Nematomorpha; Gordioida; Chordodea; Parachordodidae. The record is from RefSeq and is a predicted model, not a curated record.
ACUGCGGCAUAUUUUAAUUUUAAUUUCUUAUUCGAAUAAAUACUGAUAUAAAAAAAAUAAACAAUAAUAAUUAAAUUUUAAAUAUUUAUUUUAUUAAAAUUCUAACUUAUAAAAUAAAAUUAAAGGUAUUUUAAAAUUCCAUAUUUUGUAUUGAUAGCUUGAAGAUUUAUUUUUUAUAUGACUGCGGCGUAUAUUAAUUUCUUAUUCGACUCUGUGAAUGACUCAGAAAAUGUUAGUAACUAUGACAAAAAUGAGGACGUGGACGACAUUAACCUAAUGCCUGAUGAUAGCCGCAUUCUGUUUGCAUGCAUCACGAAUUGAGAAAGGAGGCAUAUGAAUUCCCUGAUCUUAUAAAAGAUGAGAUCAAGGAUUAUCUCGAUGAUAAAGUAGCGUCCCCUACAACGAAUAUACUAGAUUGGUGGGAAAAAAAUAGCCUUAUCUAUCCUACAUUGUCGCUGAUUGCAAAAGAUUUUCUUGCCCAGCAAUCAUCAAGUGUGCCGAGUGAGAGAGCCUUUAGCAAGACAGUGGAUUUCCUGACCAAAAAAAGAAAUAGGAUGUCACCAUCCACCUUAAAGCAUUGUUUAUCCUUGAAUAACUGGGAUAUCGAUAUAUGGCAAUAAUAUCUAUAUUUUUUUCCUUAUGUUAUACCAUAUAAUAUUUUUUCUUAUGUUAUACCAUAUAAUAUUUUUUCUUAUGUUAUAUUUAUAUUAUUAUAUCUUAUUUAGAAACAGAAAAAUAAAGUAAAUUAUGUAA